RNAcentral lists this transfer RNA (71 nucleotides) under Candidatus Woesearchaeota archaeon. RNAcentral's name for it is "tRNA-Gly". It matches the Rfam family "tRNA". Rfam says of the family: Transfer RNA (tRNA) molecules are approximately 80 nucleotides in length. Their secondary structure includes four short double-helical elements and three loops (D, anti-codon, and T loops). Lineage: Archaea; Nanobdellati; Candidatus Woesearchaeota. The record is from RNAcentral.
ACGGCUGUAGUGUAGUGGUAACAUCUGAGCUUCCCAAGCUUAUGUCCCGGGUUCGAACCCCGGCAGCCGUA